This is a long non-coding RNA of Cyanistes caeruleus (blue tit), 1729 nucleotides long. Lineage: Eukaryota; Metazoa; Chordata; Aves; Passeriformes; Paridae. The record is from Ensembl.
AGGGAUCGCUGUGUGGGGUCAGCACCGCGCGCGGAGCGCCUGAAACCAUCGGCAGCGGGGCCGUGCGCUCUCAGCGCGAAAUGUGUGCCCGGCCCUGACUUAUAGCUUCUGUGCGUAUCCCUAAACCUGUCUCAAAGAUAUCUUGGAACAUCAGUACAUAAAACACAAGGAGCUACUGACAGAGUCUAGCGAAGGGCCACAAAAGUGAUGAGGGGUCUGGCACAUCUCUCUAAUGACGAGAGAGGGACUGGAGAGAGGGAGCUGGGCCUGUUUAGUCUAGAGAAGAAAAGACUGAUAAGAGAUCUCAUCAAUACAUAAAAAUGUUUCAAAGGUGUGUCAAGAGAAUAAUGCCAGGCUCUUUUCAGUUGUGCCCCAUGACAGGACAAAGAGCAAUGGCCAUAAACUAAAACACCAGAAGUUGCACCUCAACACGGGGAAGAACAUUUUGACAUUGAGGGUGGCCGAGCACUGGAACAGGCUGCCCGGGGAGCUUGUGGAGCCUCCCUCUCCAGAGGCAUGCAAAACCCACCUGGACAUGUUCCUGUGUCACCUGCUCCUGGUGACCCUGCCUUGGUAGGAAGGUUGGAAAUAGGAUCUUCCAGCUCUAACAAUUCUGUGACUCUAUGAUCUUUGUCUUAAUAACACCUGGCUAGUAAACCUCCAUCUUUUUCAGCAGAAAAAGGAAUAUUGUAAACAUUGGAGUAUAAUUAUUGCACAAGGAUAAUAGGACAUUACUACAGCUGCAUAGUAAUAGCAACAUCUAAGAAUGUGCAUCACUAUGUAUGGGAAAUAAAAGCACGGAAAGAUAAACUAAUUUCCCAAAGGUCACUCAGCAGGCCAGCAGCACAGCCAGGAAUAGAACCCUAUUACAUACAAUUCCCUGUCAUGUAUUUUCUUCUGGUUUAAAAUGGGACUUGGCUUUAAACAGGACAUCAUUUCUGUGUACUCUGGUAGAAAGUAAAGUUCUUUGGCAAUGGCAAACCUAGGAGAAAGACACCAUGACUCCAACACUUACUUAGAUAUAAAAGCACCUUCACUGGGCCAUACCCUCAAGACAAAAGUAAUUGGAAGAUGCUGUCUUUUGUUACAGUGCAUGCUGAUUUACUUCUCUUUCUUUGUUUCUGCCUUCAUCCCUUUUUUUUUUAUUUUAAUUUUUUUUCUCUCUUUUACACUUCUCACAGAAUAUUGUCCCUUAAAGGACUGGUAUACAUGGAAGAAACAUGGGCCAAAAGUUUAAUGGUUUAUCUUCAGUAAGAGAGCAACCUGGAAACAAAACUUUCCAGCUUUCCAGAGACAUGAAGUCCCAGAGGUCUGGAACUCAGCAUUAGUCCCUCCAUAGUAUCUCCACAGGUAACGGGGAGAACAGCCUUCAUGUUGAGCCAAUACAGACUGAGCGACUCCCCCUUUUGCUGUCUACAAGCUGCUGAGGCAAGCAAGGGCCGUGGCAGUUAUUAAUAACCCUAUCUCCAGACAUGCUGGAGAAGUGUGUAGUCACGCUUCUGAGCUGUCCUUAAGCAAUUCCCAUCUUCCUUUAGAAAGCUGUAAUCUGUCAGAACAUGCUGCUAAGAAUACACUUGCAGAACAUUAUGCGUCAGGGAGGGGGUAGACCUCAUCUACUAUCUCCUAAAAAUCUUUUUAUAGAAACCACCUAAAAAUAGCCUGGAAGCCUAACAGGGUAUGUGGUUCAGUUUUUAAAAAGUAAAAAUAAAGUUCUGUGCCUUCUAUUGCA